AACGAACGCUGGCGGCAUGCCUAACACAUGCCAGUCGAACGAGACCUUCGGGUCUAGUGGCGCACGGGUUCGUAACGCGUGGGAACCUGCCCUUAGGUUCGGAAUAACUCCCCGAAAGGGGUGCUAAUACCGGAUAAUGUCUUCGGACCAAAGAUUUAUCGCCGUUGGAUGGGCCCGCGUUGGAUUAGCUAGUUGGUAGGGUAAAAGCCUACCAAGGCGACGAUCCAUAGCUGGUCUGAGAGGAUGAUCAGCCACACUGGGACUGAGACACGGCCCAGACUCGUACGGGAGGCAGCAGUGGGGAAUAUUGGACAAUGGGCGAAAGCCUGAUCCAGCAAUGCCGCGUGAGUGAUGAAGGCCUUAGGGUUGUAAAGCUCUUUUACCCGGGAUGAUAAUGACAGUACCGGGAGAAUAAGCGCCGGCUAACUCCGUG
This 433-nucleotide ribosomal RNA is filed under the name uncultured bacterium. Its description in RNAcentral is "partial 16S ribosomal RNA". It matches the Rfam family "Bacterial small subunit ribosomal RNA", at positions 29 to 507 of the family's 1533-position model. The record is from RNAcentral.